Molecule: non-coding RNA, 934 nt
Organism: Chrysemys picta bellii (western painted turtle)
Lineage: Eukaryota; Metazoa; Chordata; Testudines; Emydidae
Source: RefSeq, a predicted model, not a curated record
CGCGCAGCCACAGCGAGCCCGGCCGCCCGCACUGGGCCGCCUCGUUCCUCCGCCGGCGGGUGCUGCUGCUGGGAGCGGCGCUGCGGAGCAGCCGGGGGGCGGAAGGAGCGGAGCGAGCCCUCUGCUGGCUGCUGCGCAGGACUAACAACAGUACCUCUUAACCUGCCACAGCCGGAAUGUGUGACAGAGACAGAAUUGGGGACACAAAAAUAUUCAUACAGGAGUAGAAGGGAUUUUAAUGUCUGAAGAGGGAGAGAAAUGAAUCAGCAAAUCAUCCUGGAGAUGGAAGACGGACACUGUACAGCAAGAGCAAACCUCAGAGCAGGGAGGCCAACGCUGGAGUGAAGGUUAUCCAGCAAGUUCUUCGCCUUAUGUUCUGAUUUGCCUCCCCCAGUCUACCAGCAGCGGCCAGGUGGAGAAGGAAUUUCAGGUACUUACAUGCCACCAAAAACCUAUCUGGAAGGACAAUCUCUCACAGUACAGGAGUGCUGUAGAACUGCCCAUCCAAUUCUUGGAAAAGACUAUCUGCAGAGGUAGGAGGGUGAAAAUCCAAUCUGGGCUUUGUGCUGUGGGUAGCUGAUCUCUCUCUUGUAAGGGAGAGCAAGGAAGGAACUGAUCAAGACUGGCAGAAAGUCCCUAAAAAUGUGUGUGUGGGGGGGCCACUGGCACCCGAACUGUGGGCCUGUCCCCAUGCUGCCCCUGCACCCAUGCCAACCCUUCCCCCUGAGGCCCCAGCUCCUGCUCGCUCCUGUCUGUUGGUAAAAAGUGGGAGGACCAUGGCCCCUUGCUCCUCCCCCCCGCCCCCCAUUCUGGCUUCCCUGGAACUGAUCCAAAGGACAGUUAGCUUGUAAAACUUUUUUUUUUCUUUUUUUAAAUGGAGACCUCCCUCUUGGGGAAACCAGUGAUAUCUCCAAAUGUGGCUCCUACACAGCAA